CGUCCCUGGGCUUAACUGGGGUGGGGGUGGGAGGCCUCAGGCCCCAGAGGGGUCCCACGAAUCAGCAGGGAGGGUGUGCAAUGCUCUGCAUAGCAAAGCUGGGCCACACCAGGGGCUCCAGCUAAGGGGCUUUUUGGGGACCCCCCUGGGGACUCCCUCGCCCAAGGGCAGAGACCCCAGAACCUGCAGGGUCUCCUGAGUUCAGCACAAUGCAGGGCACCAAGUACCAGGUCCCCCUCUCCCCUGAUAUGUUGUAGUGACGAUGUCCCUGUCCCCUGGGGUUGUGGGAACCUCAGCUCAGAGCCCCUUUGAGCAGCCUUGAGCCUUGAGUUCCCACAUUCCUGAGAACUGCCCCUCUGGGCAGCUGUGGAGGUGGGGGCCCCGUGUGCGUGGGGUGACUCUGCAGGGUGCCCCUCCUCUUGCCUCUGUGUCAGCCCUUCCCCCUCCACGGGGCUGGGUGGAGGGUGGAGGGGAUGCCCUCUGUAGCUGGGGCAACCCCCUAGGCUGCACUGCCUUCCUGCCCUUCUGGAAUCAUGACAGUCUCCCCCAUCACGUUAGUGCGAAUGGGGCUCUGAGGCCUGAGAGGGGAAGGGCCUCCCGGACCCCCAUGUCUUGCCUCAAGUCGCAUCCCAGCAGUGAAAACGCAUCCCAGCAGUGAAAACAGGGGCCGGGCUGGAUCAGUGGGUUCCAGGGGGUGGAUGAUAGGCCUGUCAGUGGUGGAAACUUCUGUUCAGGUGAAAGCUCAUGCAGAUGCAAACCCCUGGGAGCUGAGCUUUCGGCUGCCCUCCCUGGCCCACCUCCCUGGAGCGGACUUGUGGCGGGGUCCCCUCUGUUCCUUGGUGUAUCCAUCUCUCUGGGCUUUGGGCUCCUAUUGUAAAAUAGGACUGGAGGGGCAGAGGGUGUGCAAGGUGACCCUGUGCCAUGCCUGACACAUGUCAGAACCAGCAGGCAGCUGCCAGACGUCAGGGGAUGGCGCCCCUGCGGGCCGUGGCGAUGCGCCAGGGCUGGGCCCAGUCCUGGCGAGGGCAGCGUGGGGUCUUCCUUGCAGGGACCGGGAAGCAUUCAGGAGCCUUUGGCUCUGAGGAUCCGAAACCCCAUCUGGUGGAGGCAAGGAGAGAAAGAGGAAUUGAAUGGCUGAGGUCACCAGGAGGCGGCCAGCGUCAGGACAGCCCCUUCAGGUCUCCUGUCGCAGCUCUGCGCAGUCAGCGUGUCUUCCCCAAGGCUGGCGCCAUGUCUACCCACAGCUGCCGCUCCCUGCUCCUGGCCUGGGGGCCCUCAGAGGAGGGGCGAUGGUGAUGAUAAGACGCCCCACCUGGGAAGGAUCCUGGGGACCGACUCUCGCGGACAGUCUGGGCCCCACACCCCAGCUUGGCCAGUGUCUGUGGUGGGAGGGCUAGGAGAGAGGUGCUGUGAACAGAAGACCUUCUCCACAAUGCCUCGGUUCAACAAACGGGGCGGUUCCCCGAAAGGGGCCAGGCGGGAGCGGGUUAGCAGGACGUCCACAGGUGCUGUUGGCCUUCCCUGCAGGUAGAGCUGGGCCUCCCUGGGACGUGGCCCUUCCCUGCAGGUAGAGCUGGGCCUCCCUGGGACGUGGCCCUUCCCUGCAGGUAGAGGUGGGCCUCGCUGGGACGUGGCCCUUCCCUGCAGGUAGAGGUGGGCCUCCCUGGGACGUGGCCCUUCCCUGCAGGUAGAGGUGGGCCUCCCUGGGACGUGGCCCUUCCCUGCAGGUAGAGCUGGGCCUCCCUGGGACGUGGCCCUUCCCUGCAGGUAGAGCUGGGCCUCCCUGGGACGAGGCCCUUCCCUGCAGGUAGAGGUGGGCCUCGCUGGAAAGGCGCGGUUCCCGUGGCUCCCAGCCCCCAGGUGGGAGAGGUAUAUCCAACUGGACACUAGGACUGAGGAGGCCUCUGAAGGGCUGCUGAGGGCGUGCUGGCCAGCUUGGCCUUGGCCAUGGGGGUGGUCAGCUGUCUGGGAACGGCUCCUUGGGGCUGGGAAUGGAGAGGUCACCUUUUGUAUGAAGUUGGGUGGGGGCCGGGAAGUUGGACCCCAGCAGGGCUUUGAAGCCUGCAGGCAAGUCCCCCCUUCCCACGUCAGGGACGCAUAACCCAUGCCCCAGCACACUGGGCUUCCUUGUGUCCUGGGUACAACAGAGCAUUCCCUUUUACAGAUACAGAAUCUGAGCAGGAUAGUCUCAGAGAUGGUGAGAUGUGUUAGAGCUGGGGGCCUUCCCAUCAGCAGGCACUUCCUUUACUCCCAUCCUGGGUCUAUCAUGGGAUUCUUAAGGCUACUUAGUGUUAAAACCCUUACAGACUCCAACAUCUAGCCAUCCAUCCAUCCAUCCAUUUGGCUGUCUAUCCAUUCAUCCAUCCAUCCAUCCAUCCAACUGUCCAUCUUUCCGUUCCUCUAUCCAUCCAGCUGUCCAUCCAUCCAUCCAUCCAUCCAUCUAACUGUCCAUCCAUCCCUCCAUUCAACUGUCCAUCCAACAUUUAUUGAAAGCCUGUCAUGUGCUGGGCAUAGGGUUGGCACUGGUUAUACCCGGGAAGCAAAGGCCCAGCCUCACCUUUGAGUAGGGGUGCCGGCUUUAGUAAAUAAAAAUACAGGACACCCAGUUAAAUCUGAAUUUCAGGUAAAC
Molecule: long non-coding RNA, 2629 nt
Organism: Equus caballus (horse)
Lineage: Eukaryota; Metazoa; Chordata; Mammalia; Perissodactyla; Equidae
Source: Ensembl